This 497-nucleotide ribosomal RNA is filed under the name uncultured bacterium. RNAcentral describes it as "partial 16S ribosomal RNA". It matches the Rfam family "Bacterial small subunit ribosomal RNA", at positions 28 to 507 of the family's 1533-position model. The record is from RNAcentral.
GAUGAACGCUGGCGGCGUGCCUAAUACAUGCAAGUCGAGCGAACAGAUGAGGAGCUUGCUCCUCUGACGUUAGCGGCGGACGGGUGAGUAACACGUGGAUAACCUACCUAUAAGACUGGGAUAACUUCGGGAAACCGGAGCUAAUACCGGAUAAUAUAUUGAACCGCAUGGUUCAAUAGUGAAAGGCGGUUUUGCUGUCACUUAUAGAUGGAUCCGCGCCGCAUUAGCUAGUUGGUAAGGUAACGGCUUACCAAGGCAACGAUGCGUAGCCGACCUGAGAGGAUGAUCGGCCACACUGGAACUGAGACACGGUCCAGACUCCUACGGGAGGCAGCAGUAGGGAAUCUUCCGCAAUGGGCGAAAGCCUGACGGAGCAACGCCGCGUGAGUGAUGAAGGUCUUCGGAUCGUAAAACUCUGUUAUUAGGGAAGAACAAAUGUGUAAGUAACUAUGCACGUCUUGACGGUACCUAAUCAGAAAGCCACGGCUAACUACGUG